RNAcentral lists this ribosomal RNA (403 nucleotides) under bacterium. RNAcentral's name for it is "partial 16S ribosomal RNA". It matches the Rfam family "Bacterial small subunit ribosomal RNA", at positions 355 to 776 of the family's 1533-position model. The record is from RNAcentral.
UGGGGAAUAUUGCACAAUGGGGGAAACCCUGAUGCAGCGACGCCGCGUGAACGAAGAAGGUAUUCGUAUCGUAAAGUUCUGUCCUAUGGGAAGAUAAUGACAGUACCAUAGAAGAAAGCUCCGGCUAAAUACGUGCCAGCAGCCGCGGUAAUACGUAUGGAGCGAGCGUUUUCCGGAAUUAUUGGGCGUAAAGGGUACGCAGGCGGUUUAAUAAGUCGAAUGUUAAAGAUCGGGGCUCAACCCCGCAAAGCAUUGGAAACUGAUAAACUUGAGUAGUGGAGAGGAAAGUGGAAUUCCUAGUGUAGUGGUGAAAUACGUAGAUAUUAGGAGGAAUACCAGUAGCGAAGGCGACUUUCUGGACACAAACUGACGCUGAGGUACGAAAGCGUGGGGAGAAAACAGG